GACGAACGCUGGCGGCGUGCUUAACACAUGCAAGUCGAACGGAAAGGCCCUGCUUUUGUGGGGUGCUCGAGUGGCGAACGGGUGAGUAACACGUGAGUAACCUGCCCUUGACUUUGGGAUAACUUCAGGAAACUGGGGCUAAUACCGGAUAGGAGCUCCUGCUGCAUGGUGGGGGUUGGUAAGAUUCGGCGGUUGGGGAUGGACUCGCGGCUUAUCAGCUUGUUGGUGGGGUAGUGGCUUACCAAGGCUUUGACGGGUAGCCGGCCUGAGAGGGUGACCGGCCACAGUGGGACUGAGAUACGGCCCAGAGUGCUACGGGAGGCAGAAGUGGGGAAUAUUGCAAAAUGGGCGGAAGCCUGAUGCAGCAACGCCGCGUGCGGGAUGACGGCCUUCGGGUUGUAAACCGCUUUCGACUGUGACGAAGAGUGAGUGACGGUAAUGGGUAAAGAAGCACCGGCUAACUACGUG
RNAcentral lists this ribosomal RNA (468 nucleotides) under uncultured bacterium. RNAcentral's name for it is "partial 16S ribosomal RNA". It matches the Rfam family "Bacterial small subunit ribosomal RNA", at positions 28 to 507 of the family's 1533-position model. The record is from RNAcentral.